RNAcentral lists this ribosomal RNA (358 nucleotides) under uncultured bacterium. Its description in RNAcentral is "bacterial SSU rRNA". It matches the Rfam family "Bacterial small subunit ribosomal RNA", at positions 29 to 412 of the family's 1533-position model. The record is from RNAcentral.
AGCGAACGCUGGCGGCAGGCUUAACACAUGCAAGUCGAGCGGGCGUAGCAAUACGUCAGCGGCAGACGGGUGAGUAACACGUGGGAACGUACCUUUUGGUUCGGAACAACUGAGGGAAACUUCAGCUAAUACCGGAUAAGCCCUAACGGGGAAAGAUUUAUCGCCGAAAGAUCGGCCCGCGUCUGAUUAGCUAGUUGGUGAGGUAAUGGCUCACCAAGGCGACGAUCAGUAGCUGGUCUGAGAGGAUGAUCAGCCACACUGGGACUGAGACACGGCCCAGACUCCUACGGGAGGCAGCAGUGGGGAAUAUUGGACAAUGGGGGCAACCCUGAUCCAGCCAUGCCGCGUGAGUGAUGAA